AGGUAGCGCCUCGUGAAUUCAUCUCCGGGGGUAGAGCACUGUUUCGGCAAGGGGGUCAUCCCGACUUACCAACCCGAUGCAAACUGCGAAUACCGGAGAAUGUUAUCACGGGAGACACACGGCGGGUGCUAACGUCCGUCGUGAAGAGGGAAACAACCCAGACCGCCAGCUAAGGUCCCAAAGUCAUGGUUAAGUGGGAAACGAUGUGGGAAGGCCCAGACAGCCAGGAUGUUGGCUUAGAAGCAGCCAUCAUUUAAAGAAAGCGUAAUAGCUCACUGGUCGAGUCGGCCUGCGCGGAAGAUGUAACGGGGCUAAACCAUGCACCGAAGCUGCGGCAGCGACGCUGAUGCGUUGUUGGGUAGGGGAGCGUUCUGUAAGCCUGCGAAGGUGUGCUGUGAGGCAUGCUGGAGGUAUCAGAAGUGCGAAUGCUGACAUAAGUAACGAUAAAGCGGGUGAAAAGCCCGCUCGCCGGAAGACCAAGGGUUCCUGUCCAACGUUAAUCGGGGCAGGGUGAGUCGACCCCUAAGGCGAGGCCGAAAGGCGUAGUCGAUGGGAAACAGGUUAAUAUUCCUGUACUUGGUGUUACUGCGAAGGGGGACGGAGAAGGCUAUGUUGGCCGGGCGACGGUUGUCCCGGUUUAAGCGUGUAGGCUGGUUUUCCAGGCAAAUCCGGAAAAUCAAGGCUGAGGCGUGAUGACGAGGCACUACGGUGCUGAAGCAACAAAUGCCCUGCUUCCAGGAAAAGCCUCUAAGCAUCAGGUAACAUCAAAUCGUACCCCAAACCGACACAGGUGGUCAGGUAGAGAAUACCAAGGCGCUUGAGAGAACUCGGGUGAAGGAACUAGGCAAAAUGGUGCCGUAACUUCGGGAGAAGGCACGCUGAUAUGUAGGUGAAGUGAUUUACUCAUGGAGCUGAAAUCAGUCGAAGAUACCAGCUGGCUGCAACUGUUUAUUAAAAACACAGCACUGUGCAAACACGAAAGUGGACGUAUACGGUGUGACGCCUGCCCGGUGCCGGAAGGUUAAUUGAUGGGGUUAGCGCAAGCGAAGCUCUUGAUCGAAGCCCCGGUAAACGGCGGCCGUAACUAUAACGGUCCUAAGGUAGCGAAAUUCCUUGUCGGGUAAGUUCCGACCUGCACGAAUGGCGUAAUGAUGGCCAGGCUGUCUCCACCCGAGACUCAGUGAAAUUGAACUCGCUGUGAAGAUGCAGUGUACCCGCGGCAAGACGGAAAGACCCCGUGAACCUUUACUAUAGCUUGACACUGAACAUUGAGCCUUGAUGUGUAGGAUAGGUGGGAGGCUUUGAAGUGUGGACGCCAGUCUGCAUGGAGCCGACCUUGAAAUACCACCCUUUAAUGUUUGAUGUUCUAACGUGGACCCGUAAUCCGGGUUGCGGACAGUGUCUGGUGGGUAGUUUGACUGGGGCRKUCWGUGGUGAACUUGCAGCCCGGUAUAUCAUUGAUAACUACUACGGUGGUCGUACCGAUAACCUGAGUGAACAGGAACGUCAGCAAAUCAGCAUGCUGGCCACCAUUGCCUCAGGUAUUGCGGGCGGGCUUGC
Molecule: ribosomal RNA, 1560 nt
Filed under: Escherichia coli
Lineage: Bacteria; Pseudomonadati; Pseudomonadota; Gammaproteobacteria; Enterobacterales; Enterobacteriaceae
Description: bacterial LSU rRNA
Rfam family: Bacterial large subunit ribosomal RNA
Source: RNAcentral